Gopherus evgoodei (Goodes thornscrub tortoise) is the source of this 383-nucleotide long non-coding RNA. RefSeq lists it as uncharacterized. Lineage: Eukaryota; Metazoa; Chordata; Testudines; Testudinidae. The transcript is spliced from 2 exons. The record is from RefSeq and is a predicted model, not a curated record.
CCUACCAAAAAACCAGGCAAACGGCCGCUCUGGGGCAAAGUCUCCGAUAUGCCGCUUCUAUGAUGAGCUGCAUACUAUUCUAGGCGGUGCCCCUAGAACUACCCUACCCCGUGCUUUGACUCCAUCAAUGGACUCUCAUGCAACAGGGAUGCGGAUUUAGGGGAAGAGGAGGAGGAGGAGGACGUUGAAGUUAGCGCGCAGCAAGGAUGUGGAGAAAACGUUUUCCCCGGCAGCCAGGAACUGUUAUCACUCUGGACCUAGUACUCUCCCAACCCACGCAGGUGGGCUCACAGACCUUGAAGGAAGUGAAGGCACCUCUGCUGCAAAUAUUUCAAUGCUCACUGUAUCAUCUCCAUCCCAGAGGCUAGAUUAGAUUGGAAGGC